CAAGGACGCGCAAGGACUCCUACAACCCUCGUGAACUUCACUACAAGCCUUGCUUCGGCGGGGGUCCCUCAGCGGAGGUCCCGCAGCCCUGGGACCUCUCAGGGGCUAAGGGCAGCCGCCGGCAGGCCUACGAUAACUCUGUCUCUUGCGUUGGCAUCUCGAGUAUAAAACAAACAAGUUA
Molecule: unclassified non-coding RNA, 181 nt
Filed under: soil metagenome
Description: partial internal transcribed spacer 1
Source: RNAcentral